GGAGAGAUAGCGAAGAGGCUAAACGCGGCGGACUGAAAAUCCGCUCCUUCGGGUUCGGGGGUUCGAAUCCCUCCCUCUCCA
This 81-nucleotide transfer RNA is filed under the name Streptococcus pneumoniae. RNAcentral's name for it is "tRNA-Phe(gaa)". It matches the Rfam family "tRNA". Rfam says of the family: Transfer RNA (tRNA) molecules are approximately 80 nucleotides in length. Their secondary structure includes four short double-helical elements and three loops (D, anti-codon, and T loops). Lineage: Bacteria; Bacillati; Bacillota; Bacilli; Lactobacillales; Streptococcaceae. The record is from RNAcentral.